UGGGAUUAGAUACCCCACUAUAGUUUCAAGAAAUUAAGAGUACUACGGUCUUAAGACUAAAACCCAAAGAACUUGGCGGCAUUCCACCCCUAACCAGAGGAGUUUGUAUCAUAAACGAUAAUCCGCGAGACAACUCACCCUCUUUAGCUAAUCAGCUUGUAUACCAUCGUCGUCAGUUAACCUUAUAAGAGAGUUAACAAAAAGUUUUAAUAAUAUAAACACUACUUCAGAUCAAGGUGCAGCUUAUAAGAAGGAGAAUAUGAACUACAAAGGUCUUAACAAAAGCAGAAAGGGAUUGUAAUAUAACCCAAUUAAGGAGAAUUUGGUAGUAAUAACUUAAAGAAUAUAGUUAUGAAUUCAGCAACUGGAAUGUGCACACACCGCCCGUCACCCUCCUCAA
Molecule: ribosomal RNA, 400 nt
Filed under: Chiridota sp. 1 AKM-2016
Lineage: Eukaryota; Metazoa; Echinodermata; Holothuroidea; Apodida; Chiridotidae
Description: partial 12S ribosomal RNA
Rfam family: Microsporidia small subunit ribosomal RNA
Source: RNAcentral